RNAcentral lists this long non-coding RNA (1042 nucleotides) under Nicotiana tabacum (common tobacco). RNAcentral describes it as "long non-coding RNA (NTAB_LNC013314)". The record is from RNAcentral. Lineage: Eukaryota; Viridiplantae; Streptophyta; Magnoliopsida; Solanales; Solanaceae.
UGUAUUACCUUGCGCCUCAUAAUUUCUAAGGAGGUCUGGUUGACAAAGCUUGGUUUUUAUUUCUUGAGUCAAGAGUAAAUAUUCCCCGCAGCAUGCUAAUCUGUGGUUACUUGAAAUUCCAACCUGAAAUGCAUUGCCCUCUAUAAAAUCUUAUCACUGCACCUACGAUAAAUGAUGGUUUUGCAUUGCUCUUUAGCUUAGGCGGAGCGGAGCGAUCACUUUUAAUAACUGUUUUCAGUUUUUCCCAUUACAGUGAAUUUGCAUAGAAAAUAAUGAAUUGUUUUGAGAUGGAGAGAACAUAGGUGAAUGCUUAACUGUGAAGGCGAUGCUAAAAGAUCCAUUCAUUUCAUUUAGCUGGUGCUCUGCGAAGAAGAAAAUUCAUAAGUUGCCUAUAGCAGCUAAAUCUCACAGGGAAACACUCGAACGCAUUGAUCAGUGGGACAGUAUGAGCGGUGUGAUUAGAGGAAGAUAUCACACCGCUCAUACUGUCCCACUGAUCAAUAUCCAAGAUAUUAGACCAAGUAUACAACAAGAACAAUUACCACUACUACUAUGUCUGAAUCCCGAAUAGUUGAGGUUAGCUCUAUGAACCCUCAAUAUCCAUUCUUUUCAUUCUAAUACCCAAUAAUUUCUCUUCUACUACAAAAAUCAUAGUGUCUCGACAUUUUCUACUAAUAACUUUUAUUUCACAAAGAUAUUCAUUCCAAUUAAUAGAAAUUAAACUAAUACUAGCAUCAACACCUGAAUAAAUUGCCAAAACAUAUGUAUUUUAACUAAACGCAGUAAUCAAGCGAAUCACCAAAUUCAAAUAUUCAGCAAUAUGGUUAAAGGAAAAUCACAAUUAGCCUACAACUAACAUUCAACAAGUUUGACUGAAAUAAAAUCUCAUUCGCAAAAUUAAAAGAAAAUCCGAUUUUUAUUUUUAUUUUUAAAAACAGUGCAUAAUUGAAGGAAAUAAAACUGGCAUACCUAUGAAAGAAUUUGGAGUGCAGGUUGAAUUAACGUGAUUAAAGAUCUCGCCGUGAAGUCACCGGGAAAAUGU